GUGAGAUUAAAGCAUGCUUCCUUGGACUUCCAAAAAAAAAAGAUUAUCAAACUUUUUCACAUCAUAUGAGAAGAUUGUGGGGACGUUGUAAAUAUAGGAGGGCCCUUGAACACCUAAAUUUCUUGUAUGGUUGAAUUUAGAGAAGAAUACUAGUACAUUUUUGAUUGCAUAGAUCUAGAAAAAUGAAACAUGGAUGAAAUAUUAUUCUGCAAUCUCAGGCCUGGAAUGGAAAACUUCUACCCAUCCUGAGAAAGUAUCUACAAAAAUAAGAAGAUAUUUAUGUUUUUCUGUUAGGUGGUAUAUAUGUGAAAUCUAUCUGCAAGACCUCACCAGUAAGAUGAUGCCAAAUUAGUAUAGAAACGCGAAGGUAUGGGAUGCUGCUGGGUGUGUGGUAAGUUAGAGCAAAUAUGAUCACCUGCAGCAUGAGACUAGAGGAAGCAGGUAAGAAAGAUUUAGAAAAACAUAAUCAACAUAUGAAUCCUUUAGAAAAAGCAUCAGUGGAGGGGUGAGAAGGAUACAUUUCACAUGAUCCCAAUAAAGGUGUUUUAAGGGAAUGAAAAAGGACAAUGUAGUGGAGCUGGGUCCAGAGGAGGUAAAUUUGCCAAAGUAAAAUGAUUCUUUUACAUUAAUUCAUAUGGGUUGAGGAUGGAAGAGGCUCUGAGUCAGGACCAAUGUGAGUUGGGAUUACAAUUUUUGGUUUGAGCCUAUGGAAGGUGAAGUUCAGAAGAUAAUUCUGAUAAUUAAGAAUAAAUAAGCUAAUCUAUCAUUUGUAAUUUCUCAAAGGAAGCAGUUAGGUAGGAAACAUGGAAGGGCCGAUGGACAUCUAAGGACCUUGAACAGAAAUGACAUUAGAGAUGAAUUCUAGGCCUUUUUUUUGGGGGGGGGGUCAAUGGAUCUAGGAAGUCCAAACCUGGAUAAAAUAUUAUUUGAGGUGGGAAGUGACCACAUCUAAAGUCUCAGCAAUGGCAGUGAAAAUUUUAACCAUGCUGAGAAAAUAUCUACCAUAGUAAGAAGAUAUUUGUGUUUUUCUGUUAGGUGCUAUAUGUGUGAAAUCUUUCUCCAGUCCUCUGAUCUAAGAUUUUCCCCAAAAUAGUGUAGAAUGAAGAAGGGAUGGGAUGUUCCUGGGUGUGUGUUGAGGAAGAACAAUUAUGGUCACCUAAAGCAUGACAGUAGAGCAAGCAGGUAAGACAGCUUUAGAAAAACCAAGUUAACAGGUGAUUACUAUGGUUUAAGAAUAAAUGGAAGGCUUACGGAGCCUAAAAUGUACAUGAUCCCACAGAAGGUGUUUUAAGAGAAUGAAAAGGAGAUGUAGUGGGGCUGGAUUGAGAGGAGGUUUAUUUUCUAAACUAAAAAGAUUCUUUUACAUUAAUUCAUAUGGGUUGAGGAUGGAAGAGGCUCAGAGUCAGGACCAAUGUGAGUUGGUGUUACAAUUUUUGGUUUGAGCCAAAGGAAGGUGAAGUUCAGACAAUAAUUCUGAUAAUUAAGAUUUAAGAAGCUAAUUAAUGAUUUUUACUUUCUCUACAGACUGAGGGAGGGAAGGAAUAUGGAAGCUCCCCUAAAAAUAUAAGGACCUAGAACUAUAUUGAUUUUAGAGAUGAAUACUAGGCCAUUUCCCGGUUGCAUAGAUCUAGGAAGUCCAAACCUGGAUAAAAUAUUAUUCAUGAGGUGGUAACUGACCAAAUCUGCUGUCUCAGAAAUGGUAGGGAAAAUUUUACCCAUGCUGAGAAAAUAUCUACCAUAGUAAGAAGAUAUUUGUGUUUUCUGUUGGGAGGUAUAUGUGUGAAAUCUUUCUCCAGUCCUCUGAUCUAAGAUUUUCCCAAAAAUAGUAUAGAAUGAAGAAGGGAUGGGAUGUUCCUGGGUGUGUGUUGAGGAGAAAAAAUUGUGGUCACCUGCAGCAUGACAGGAAAGCAGGCAGUUAAGACAACUUUAGAAAAACCAAUUAAACAGGUGAAUUCUAUAGUUUAAGGAUAAGUGGAGGGCUAAGGGGGGCUAAAAUGUACAUGAUCCCAGAGAAGGCAUUUUAAGCAAAUGAAAAAGGACAAUGAAGUGGGGCUGGUUUGAGAGGAGGUAAAUUUUCCAAAGUAAAAAGAUUCUUUUCCAUUAAUUCAUAUGGGUUGAGGAUAGAAGAGGCUCAGAGUCAGGACCAAUGUGAUUUGGGGUUACAAUUUUGGGUUUGAGCUUUAGGAAAUUGAAGUCCAGGAUAAAAUUCUGAUAAUUAAGUUUUAAGAAGCUAAUCAAUGAUUUUUACUUUCUCUAUGGCCCUAGGUGGGCAAGGAAUAUGGACGCCCCCCUAAACAUAAAAGGACCUGGAACCAUAUUGAUUUUAGAGAAAAAUGCUAGUCAUUUUCUUGUUGCAUAGAUCUAGGAAGUCCAACCCAGUAUAAAAUAUUACUCAUGAGCUGGGAACUGACCACAUCUGCUGUCUCAGACAUGGGAGUGAAAAUUUUACCAAAGGUGAGAAAAUAACUACUAUAGUAAGAAGAUACUUGUGUUUUUUUUUCUGUUAGGUGAUAUAUAUGUGAAAUAGUUCUGCCAGUCCUUUGCAGUAAAAUUUUUCCAAAAUUAGUAUAUAAUUAAGAAGGGAUGGGAUGUUCCUGUGGGUGUGUUGAGGAGGAACAAUUGUGGUCACCUGCAACAUGACAGUACAGCAAUCAGGUAAGACAGCUUUAGAAAAGCCAAGUUAACAAGUGAAUCCUAUGGUUUAAGGAUAAUUGUAGGGCUAGGGGUCGCUAAAAUAUACGUGAUCCUAGAGAAGGUGUUUUAAGAGAAUGAAUAAAGACAAGUAGUCCUAUAGUGGGGCUGGAUAGAGUAGGCAAGUUUUCCAGAGUAAAAUGAUGCUCUUAUAUUAACUCAUAUGGGUUGAGGAUGGAAGAGGCUCAGAAUCAGGACCAAUGUGAGUUGGGGUUACAAUUUUUGGUUUGAGCCUAAGGGAGGUAAAGUUCAGAACAUAAUGUUAAUAAUUAAGAUUUAAUGAGCUAAUCAAUGAUUUUUAUUUUCUCUGUGGACUGAGGGAGGCAAGAAAUAUGUAAGCUCCUCUAAACAUAGAAGUACCUAGAACCUUAAUGAUUCUAGAGAGGAAUAUUAGGCCUUUUUCUGGUUGCAUAGAUCUUGGAUGUACAAACCUGGAUAAAAUAGGAUUCAUGAGCUGGGAAGGGAAGCUAUGUAAAGUCUUAGCAAUGGUAGUGAAAAUUUUACCCAUGCUGAUAAAAUAUACAGCAUAGUAAGAAGAUAUUUGUAUUUUUCUGUUAUGUGGUAUAGGUGUGAAAUCUUUCUCCAGUCCUUUGAUGUAAGACUUUCCCAAAAAUAGUAUAGAAUGAAGAAGAGAUGGGAUGUUCCUGGGUGUGUGUUGAGGAGGAAAUAUUGUGGUCACCUGCAGAAUGACAGUAGAGAAAGGAGGUAAGACAGCUGUAGAAAAACCAAGUAAACAGGUUAAUCCUAUGGUUUAGGGAUAAGUUAAGGGUUAAGUGGGCAACAAUGCACAUGAUCCCAAAGAAGGUGUUUUAAGAGACUAAAAAAGGACAAUAAAGUGGGGCUGUGCAUAGAGGAGGUAAAUUUUACCAGAGAAAAAUGAUUCUCUUACAUUAAUAUAUAUGGAUUGAGGAUGGAAGAGGGUCACAGUCAGGACCAAUGUGAGUUGGGGUUACAAUUUUUGGUUUGAGCCUAAGGAAGGUGAGGUUAAGAAGAUAAUUCUGAAAAUUAAAAUUUAAUAAGCUAAUCAAGAAUUUUUCCAAUCUCUGAGGACUGAGGAAGGCAAGGAAUAUGGAAGCUCUCCUAAACAUAUAAAGACCUUUAAAAAUUGAAUUUAGAUAGGAACCAGUGGCCAUUUUCUGGUUGAAUAGAUUUAGGAAGUCCAAACCUGGAUAAAAUAUUAUUCAUCACCUGGGUACAUACCUCAUCUAUAAUCUCAUCUGUGGGAGGGAAAAUUUUACUCAUGCUGAGAAAAUAUCUACCAUAGUAAGAAGAUAUUUGUCUGUGUUUUCUGUUAGGAGGUAUAUGUGUGAGAUCUUUCUCCAGUCCUCUGAUGUAAGAUUUUCCCAAAAAUAGUAUAGAAAGAAGAAGGGAUGGGAUGUUCCUGGGUGUGUGUUGAGGAGGAAGAAUUGUGGUCACCUGCAGCAUGACAGUAGAGCAAGCUGGUAAGACAGCUUUAGAAAAACCACAUAAACAUGUGAGUCCUAUGCUUUGAGGAAAAGUGGAGGGUUAAGGGGGGGCUACAAUGCACAUGAUCUCAGAGAAGUUGUUUUAAGAGAAUGAAAAGGGAGAAUGUAGUAGAGCAGAGCCCAGAGGAGGUACAUUUUCCAAAGUAAAAUGAUUAUUUAAAAUUAAUUCAUAUGGGUUAAGGAUGCAAGAGGCUAAGAGUCAGGUCCAAUGUGAGUUGGGGAUACAAUUAUUUGUUUGAGCCUAAGGAAGGUAAAGUUUAAAAGAUAAAUCUGAAACUUAAAAUUAAAUAGGCUAAACUAUGAUUUUUACAUUCUCUAAAAAAGUAGUUAUGUAGUGAAUAUGGAAGGGCCCAUGGAUAUCUAAGGACCUUGAACAGAAAUGACAUUAGAGAUGAAUACUAGGCCAUUUUUUGGGUUACUAGAUCUAGGAAGUCCAAACAUGGAUAAAAUAUUUUUCAUUACCUAAGUACAUACCUCAUCUAUAGUCUCAGCUGUGGUAGGGAAACUUUUACCCAUGCUGAGAAAAUAUUUACCAUAAUAAGAAGAUAUUUGUGUUUUUCUGUUAGGCUGUAUAUGUGGGAAAUCUUUCUCAAGUACUCUGAUGUAAGAUUUUCCCCAAAUUAGUAUAUAAUGAAGAAGGGAUGGGAUGUUCUUGGGUGUGUGUUGAGGAGGAACAAUUGUGGUCACCUGCACCCUGACAGUAGAUCAAGCAGGUUAAGACAGCUUUAGAAAAACUAAGUUAACUGGUGAAUCCUCUGCCUUAAGAAUAAGUGGAGGGCUAAGUGGGGCUACAAUGCACAUGAUCCCAGAGAAGGUAUUUUUAAGAUAAUGAAAAAGGACAUUGUAGAGGGGCUGGAUCUAGAGGAGUUGUAUUUUCCAAAAUAAAAUGAUUCUUUUACAUUAAUUCUUAAGGCUUGAGGUGGAUGAGGAUCACAGUCAGGACCAAUGUGAGUUGGGGUUACAAUUUUUGGUGUGAGUCUAAGGAAGGUGAAGUUCAGAAGAUAAUUCUGAAAGUUAAAAUUUAAUAAGCUAGUUAUGAUUUUUACUUUCUCUAAGAAAGCAGUUAAGUAGGGAAUAUGGAAGGGCCCAUGGAAAUCUAAAGACCUUGAACAGAAAUGACAUUAGAGAUGAAUACUAGGACAUUUUGGGGGGGGAGGGAAAUAUAUCUAGGAAGUCCUAACCUGGAUAAAAAAAAUAUUCAUCACCUAGGUAUAUACCUCAUGUAUAGAAUUAGCCAUUUUAGGGAAACUUUUACCCAUGCUUAGAAAAUAUCUACCACGAAAAUACAUGCUUUUUCUGUAAGGUUGUAUAUGUGUGAAAUCUUUCUCAGAUCCUCUGAUGAAAAAUUUUCCCCAAAUUAGUAUAUAAUGAAGCAGGGAUUGGAUGUUCCUGGGUGUGUGUUGAGGAGGAACAAUUGUGGUCACCUGCAACAUGACAAUAGAGCAAGCAGGUAAGACAGCUUUAGAAACACCAAGUAAACAUGUGAAUCCUAUGCUUUAAGGAUAAGUGCAGGGCUAUGGGGGACGGGGGGACGGGGGCUACAAUGGACAUGAUCCCAGAGAAGGUGUUUUAAGAGAAUGAACAAGGACAAUGUAUUGGGGCUGGAUCGAGAGUAGCCAAAUUUUCCAAGAGUAAAAUGAUUCUCUUACAUAAACUCACAUAGGUUGAGGAUGGAAGAGGAACACAUUCAGGACCAAUGUGGGUUGGGGUUACAAUAUUUGGUUUGAGCCUUAGGAAGGUCAAGUUAAAAAGAUAAUGCUAAUAAUUAAGAUUAUAAAGCUAAUCAAUGGUGUUUACAUUCUCUGAGGACUGAGUGAGGCAAGGAAUAUGGAAGCUCCCCAAAAUAUAUAAGAACCUAGAACGAUAUUGAUUUAGAGAAGUAAACUAGGCCAUUUUAUGGUUGCUUAGAUCUAGGAAGUUCAAAACUGGAUAAAAUAUUAUUCAUGAUCUGGGAACUGACCACAUCCAAAGCCUCAGCAAUUGUAGUGAAAUUUUACGCAUCCUAAGAAAAUAUAAACCAUAGAAAGAAGAUAUUUGUGUUUUUCUGUUAGGUGGUAUAUGUGUGAAAUCUUUCUCCAGUCCUCUGAUGUAAGAUUUUCCCAAAGUUAGUAUAGAAUGAAGAAGGAAUGGGAUGUUCCUGGUGUGUGUUGAGAAGGAAAAAUUGUGGUCACCUGUAGCCUGACAGUUGAAUAAGCAGGAAAGACAGCUUUAGAAAAACCAAGUGAAUCCUAUUGAAAAACAGGUGAAUCCUAUUGUUUAAGGAUAGGUUGAGGGCAAAGUGGAGAUACAAUGUACAUGAUUCCAGGGAAGGUGUUUUAAGAGAAUAUAAAAAGAACAAUAGAUUGGGGCUGGGUCUAGAAGAGGUAAAUUUUGCCACAGUAAAAUGAUUCUCUUACAUUAAUUGAUAUGGGUUGAGGAUGUAAGAGGCUCACAGUCAGGACCAAUGUGAGUUGGGUUUACAAUUUUUGGAUUGAGUCUAAGUAAGUUAAGGUUCAAGAGAUAAUUCUCAAAAUUAAAAUUUAAUAAACUAAUCAACAAUUUAUACAUCCUCUGAGGAUUUAGGAAGGCAAGGAAUCUGGAAGCUCCCAUAAACAUAUAACGACCUAGAACCUUAUUGAUUUUAUAGAAUAAGAAUUGGCCAUAUUCUGGUUGCAUAGAUCUAGGAAGUCAAAACCUGGAUGAAAUAUUCAUCACUAGGUACAUAACACAUCUAUAGACUCAGCCAUGGUAGGGAAACUUUUAUAGAUGCUGAGAAAAUAUCUACCAUAGCAAGAAGAUAUUUGUGUUUAUCUCUUAGGUGGUGUAUGUGUAUAAUUUUCUCCAGUGCUCUGAUGUAAGAUUUCGCCAAAUUAGGGUAGAAUGAAGAGGGGAUGGGAUGUUCCUGGGUAUGUGUUGAGGAGGAACAAUUGGGGUCAUCUGCAGCCUGAUAAUCGAGCAAGCAGGUAAGACAGCUUUAGAAAAACUAAGUUAAAAAAACUAUGUUAACAGGUGAUUCAUAUGCACUAAGGAUAAGUGGAGGGCUAUGGGAGGGUGUGUUACAAUGCACAUGAUCCCAAAGAAGGGGUUUUAAGAGCAUGAAAAAAGGAGAAUGUAGUGGGGCUGGGUUGAGAGGAGUUAUAUUUCUAAACUAAAAUUGUUCUUUUACAUUAAUUCAUAUGGGUUGAGGAUGGAUGAGGCAAAAAAAUCAGGACCAAUGUGAGUUGGGGUUAUAAUUUUUGGCUAGAGCCUAAGAAAGGUGAAGUUCAGAAGAUCAUUAUGAAAAUUAAAAUUUAAUAGGCUAAUCAAGGAUUUUUACUUUCUCUAAGGAAGCAGUUAAGUAGGGAAUAUGUAAGGACCCAUGGACGUCUAAUCCCCUUGAACAGAAAAUGACAUUAGAGAUGAAUACUAGGCCAUUUUUUGGGGUCAAAAGAUCUAGGAAUUCCUAACCUGAAUAAAAUAUUAUUCAUCACCUGGGUACAUAUCUCGUCUAUAGUCUCAGCCAUGGUAGUGAAUCUUUUACUCAUGGUGAGAAAAUAUCUAUCAGAGUAAGAGGAUAUUUGUGUUUUUCUUUUAGGUGGUAUAGGUGUGAAAUCUUUAUCCAAUCUCUGAUGUAAGGUUUUCCCCCAAAUUAGUAUAUAAUGAAGAAGGGAUGGGAUGUUCUUGGGUGUGUGUUGAGGAGGAACAAUUGUGGUCACCUGCAGCAUGACAGUAGAUCAAGCAGGUAAGACAGAUUUAUAAAAACCAAUCAAACAGGUGAACCCUAUGAUUUAAGGAUAAGUUGAGGCCUAAGGUGAGCUACAAUGCACAUGAUCCCAAGGAGGUGUUUUAGAGAAUGAAAAAUGACAAUAUAUUUGGGCAGGAUUGAGAGUGGGCAAAUUUCCUAAGAGUAAAAUGAAUUGCUUAAUUAACUCAUAUGGGUUGAGGAUGGAAGAGGCUCCAAUUAAGGACCGAUGUGAGUUGGGGUUACAAUAUUUGGUUGAGCUUAAGGAAGGUGAAGUUCAAAAGAUAAUGCUAAUAAUUAAGAUUAUAGAGCCAAUCAAUGAUUUUUACAUUCUCUGAGGUCUGAGGGAGGCAAGGAAUAUGGAAGUUCCCCUUAACAUAUAAGGACCUAGAACAAAACUGAUUUUAGAGAAGAACACUUGUACAUUUUCUGUUUGCAUCAAUCUAGGAAGUCCAAACCUGGAUAAAACAUUAUUCAUAUGCUGGUAUCUGACCACAUAUAAACUCUCUGCAAUGCUAGUGUAAAUUUUACCCAUGCUGAGAAAAGUAAGAUAUUUGUGUUUUUCUGCUGGGUGCUAUAUAUGUGAAUAAAUUCUCCAAUCCUCUGAUGUCAGAUUUUUUUCAAAAAUAGUAUAGAAUGAAGAAGGGAUUGGAUGUUCCUGGGUGUGUGUUGAGGAGGAACAAUUGUGGUCACCUGCACAGUGACAGUAGAGCAAGCAGUAUAGAAUGAAGAAGGGAUGGGAUGUUCCUGGGUGUGUGUUGAGGAGAAAAAAUUGUCACCUGCAGAAUGACAGUAGAGCAAACAGGUAAGACAGCUUUAGAAAAUCCAAGUAAACAGAUGAAUCCUAUGAUUUAAGGAUAAGUGGAGGGCUAAGGGGAGAUACAGUGCACAUGAUCCCAGAGAAGAUGCUUUAAGAGAAUGAAAAAUUACAAUGUAUUGGUGCUGAAAUGAGAGUAGGCAAAUUUUGCCCGAGUAAAAUGAUGCUCUUACAUUAAUUCAUAAGGGUUGAGGAUGGAAGAGGCUCACAGCCAGGACCAAUGUGAUUUGGGGUUACAAUUUUUGGUUUAAGCCCAAGGAAGUUGAUGUUCAGAAAAUUAUUCUCAAUAUUAAAAUUUAAAAAGAUAAUUAACAAUUUUACAUUCUCUGAGGACUGAGGGUGGCUAGGAUUAUGGAAGCUCCCAUAAACAUAUAAGGAUGUAGAACCUUAUUGAUUUCACACAUUAACACUUGGCCAUUUUUGGGUUGCAUAUAUCUAGGAAAUCUAAACCUGGAUGAAACAUUUUUCAUCACCUAGGUACAUGCCACAUGUAUACUCUCAGCCUUGGUAGGGAAAAUUUUAUCCAUGCUGAGAAAAUAUCAAACAUAGUAAGAUGAUAUUUGUGUUUUUCUGUUAGUUGGUAUAUGUGUGAAAUCUUUCUCCAGUCCUCUGAUGUAAGACUUUCCCCAAAUUAGUAUAUAAUGAAGAAGACAUGAGAUGUUGUUGGGUGUGUGUUGAGGAGGAACAAUUGUGGUCACCUGCAGCCUGACAGUAGAGCAAGUAGGCAAGACAGCUUUAGAUAAACGAAAUAACAGGUGCAUCCUAUGGUUUAAGGAUAAGUUGAGGACUAAGUGGGGAUACAGUGCACAUGAUCCCAGGGAAGGUGUUUUAAGAGAAUAAAAAAGGAGAAUGUGGUGGGGCUGUGUCUAGAAAAGGUAAAUUUUGCCAGAGUAAAAAUAUUCUCUUACAUUAAUUGAUAUGGUUUGAGGAUUGAAAAGGCUCAGAGUCAGGACCAAAGUGAGUUGUAGUUACAAUUUUAUGAUUGAGCCUAAGUAAGUUGAGGUUCAAGAGAUAAUUCUCAAAAUUAAAAUUGAAUAAGCUAAUCAAUGAUUUUUACAUUCUCUGAGGACUGAGAGAGGCAAGGAAUAUGGAAGCUCCCCUAAACAUAUAAGGACCUAUAACCAUAUUGAUUUUACAGAGUAAAAAUUUGCCAUUUUCAGGUUGCUUAGAUCUAGGAAGUCAAAACCUGGAGAAAAUAUUAUUCAUCAACAGGGUACAUAACACAUCUAUAUUCUCAGCCACGAUAAGGAAAGUUUUGCCCAUGCUGCGAACAUAUCUACCAUAGUAAGAAGAUAUUUGUGAUUUUCUGUUAUGUGGUAUAUGUGUGUAAUUUUCUCCAGUUCUCUGAUGUAAGAAUUCCCCCAAAUUAGUAUAGAAUGAAGGAGGGAUGGGAUGUUCCUGGUGUGUGUUGCAGAUGAAAAAUUGUGGUCACCUGCAGCCAGACAGUAGAGCAAGCAGGUAAGACGAGUUAGAAAAACUAAGUUAACAAAAACUAAAUUAACAGGUGAUUCAUAUGCUUUAAGGAUAAGUGGAGGGCUAUGGGAGCUACAAUGCACAUGGUCCCAGAGAAGGUGUUUUAAGAGAAUGAAAAA
This is a long non-coding RNA of Mus musculus (house mouse), 10266 nucleotides long. RefSeq annotates it as predicted gene, 54061. The transcript is spliced from 2 exons. NCBI's taxonomy places the organism in Eukaryota, Metazoa, Chordata, Mammalia, Rodentia, Muridae. The record is from RefSeq and is a predicted model, not a curated record.